UACAGAGGGUGCAAGCGUUGUUCGGAAUUACUGGGCGUAAAGCGCGUGUAGGUGGCUGCGUAAGUCAGAUGUGAAAGCCCUCGGCUUAACCGAGGAAGUGCAUCUGAUACUGCGUAGCUCGAGUACUGGAGGGGAUGGCGGAAUUCCCGGUGUAGAGGUGAAAUUCGUAGAUAUUGGGAAGAACACCAGUGGCGAAGGCGACUUCCUGGCCUGUUCUUGACGCUGAGGCGCGAAAGCUAGGGGAGCAAACGGG
This 253-nucleotide ribosomal RNA is filed under the name uncultured bacterium. RNAcentral describes it as "partial 16S ribosomal RNA". It matches the Rfam family "Bacterial small subunit ribosomal RNA", at positions 524 to 776 of the family's 1533-position model. The record is from RNAcentral.